Molecule: ribosomal RNA, 301 nt
Filed under: uncultured bacterium
Lineage: Bacteria
Description: partial 16S ribosomal RNA
Rfam family: Bacterial small subunit ribosomal RNA
Source: RNAcentral
CAGUCGCCGCGGUAAAACGGAGGGUGCAAGCGUUAAUCGGAAUUACUGGGCGUAAAGCGCACGCAGGCGGUCUGUCAAGUCGGAUGUGAAAUCCCCGGGCUCAACCUGGGAACUGCAUUCGAAACUGGCAGGCUAGAGUCUUGUAGAGGGGGGUAGAAUUCCAGGUGUAGCGGUGAAAUGCGUAGAGAUCUGGAGGAAUACCGGUGGCGAAGGCGGCCCCCUGGACAAAGACUGACGCUCAGGUGCGAAAGCGUGGGGAGCAAACAGGAUUAGAUACCCGCGUAGUCCCUGUCUCUUAUAU